This 433-nucleotide ribosomal RNA is filed under the name uncultured bacterium. RNAcentral's name for it is "partial 16S ribosomal RNA". It matches the Rfam family "Bacterial small subunit ribosomal RNA", at positions 29 to 507 of the family's 1533-position model. The record is from RNAcentral.
AACGAACGCUGGCGGCAUGCCUAACACAUGCAAGUCGAACGAGACCUUCGGGUCUAGUGGCGCACGGGUGCGUAACGCGUGGGAACCUUCCCUUAGGUUCGGAAUAACUCCUCGAAAGGGGUGCUAAUACCGGAUAAUGUCUUCGGACCAAAGAUUUAUCGCCUUUGGAUGGGCCCGCGUUGGAUUAGCUAGUUGGUAGGGUAAAAGCCUACCAAGGCGACGAUCCAUAGCUGGUCUGAGAGGAUGAUCAGCCACACUGGGACUGAGACACGGUCCAGACUCCUACGGGAGGCAGCAGUGGGGAAUAUUGGAAAAUGGGCGAAAGCCUGAUCCAGCAAUGCCGCGUGAGUGAUGAAGGCCUUAGGGUUGUAAAGCUCUUUUACCCGGGAUGAUAAUGACAGUACCGGGAGAAUAAGCCCCGGCUAACUACGUG